AUUGAACGCUGGCGGCAGGCCUAACACAUGCAAGUCGAGCGGAUGAAGGGAGCUUGCUCCUGGAUUCAGCGGCGGACGGGUGAGUAAUUCCUAGGAAUCUGCCUGGUAUUUGGGGAUAACGUCCGUAAACGGGCGCUAAUACCGCAUACGUCCUGAUGUAGAAAGUGGGGGAUCUUCGGACCUCACGCUAUCAGAUGAGCCUAGGUCGGAUUAGCUAGUUGGUGGGGUAAAGGCCUACCAAGGCGACGAUCCGUAACUGGUCUGAGAGGAUGAUCAGUCACACUGGAACUGAGACACGGUCCAGACUCCUACGGGAGGCAGCAGUGGGGAAUAUUGGACAAUGGGCGAAAGCCUGAUCCAGCCAUGCCGCGUGUGUGAAGAAGGUCUUCGGAUUGUAAAGCACUUUAAGUUGGGAGGAAGGGCAGUAAGUUAAUACCUUGCUGUUUUGACGUUACCAACAGAAUAAGCACCGGCUAACUUCGUG
This 484-nucleotide ribosomal RNA is filed under the name uncultured bacterium. RNAcentral describes it as "partial 16S ribosomal RNA". It matches the Rfam family "Bacterial small subunit ribosomal RNA", at positions 30 to 507 of the family's 1533-position model. The record is from RNAcentral.